CGUCUCUGGCGAUCGUCUUGCCCCGACAGGGAUGCCACGUAUGGGAGGAUUCCAGGAGAGGCCGUGGCUUGCUUAAGUCAAUUAUUGAAAGUAUGCUCCAAUUGCCAGAGAGGGUGUUAGCCCCGUCCUGGCAGGUUGCGUGCCCUCGCCACGGAGUCCUCCUUUGAGUCGGGUUGCCCGAUAACGCAGCCCUAAGAAGGGUGGUAAACUCCAUCCAAGGCUAAAUACGACCACGAGACCGAUAGUGAACAAGUACCACGAGGGAAAGUUGAAAAGGACUUUGAAGAGAGAGUUCAAUANAGCGUGAAACCGUUACGAGCUUAAAAAACGGAUGGGC
This 337-nucleotide ribosomal RNA is filed under the name Paradoxapseudes bermudeus. RNAcentral describes it as "eukaryotic LSU rRNA". It matches the Rfam family "Eukaryotic large subunit ribosomal RNA", at positions 117 to 432 of the family's 3401-position model. Lineage: Eukaryota; Metazoa; Arthropoda; Malacostraca; Tanaidacea; Apseudidae. The record is from RNAcentral.